This 83-nucleotide transfer RNA is filed under the name Schistocephalus solidus. It matches the Rfam family "tRNA". From Rfam's summary of the family: Transfer RNA (tRNA) molecules are approximately 80 nucleotides in length. Lineage: Eukaryota; Metazoa; Platyhelminthes; Cestoda; Diphyllobothriidea; Diphyllobothriidae. The record is from Rfam by way of RNAcentral.
GGCCUCGUAGCUCAGUUGGAUAUAGUGUUGGCUGUACUAAAGUCUUCUCCUUGGUGGUCUGGGUUCGAAUCCCACCGAGGCUG